GCACAGUGGUUAAGAGCUACAGCUGCUAACCAAAAGGUCGGCAGUUCGAAUCCUCCAACUGCUCCUUGGAAACCCUGUUGGGCAGUUCCACUCUGUCCUGUGGGGUUGCUAUGAGUUGGCAUUGACUGGACAGCAAUGGGUUUGUUUUUUUGGUUUAGUUAUAGGCAGAUUACACUAAGUUAUAUAUGCUUCCUAUUUCCCUAGAUUUAUUUUUAAAAUACAUUUUAUUUUUUAGAGCAGGUUUAGGUUUAUAGAAAAAUUAUGCUGAAAGUAUAGAGAGUUUCCAUGUACCUGCUCUCCCCCCUCCACACAGUUUCUCCUGUUAUUAACACCUUGCAUUAGUGUGGUACAUUGGUUACAACUGAUGAACCAAGAUUGAUGUGUUAUUAUUAACUAAAGCCCUUAGUUUACAUUAGAGUUUGCUCUUCAUAUUAUACAGUUCUAUGGGUUUUGACAAAUGCAUAAUGUCAUCUAUCCGCCAUUACAGUAUCAUGCAGAAUAGUUUCAGAGGGGGAAGAAUCAAUAAAUAUUUUAAACAUGUUAUUCAUUGUAUAUUUAGUUUUUCACAAGAAGGAAACCAUUUAAUGGAAUCUGCUUUGGAAAGAUGAAUAUAUGCCGUAAGCCACGCAAGAGUGGAUCUCGAUCAAGAUACAAUAAAUCCAAUGUUGUUCUGAGUGAUUAAGUUCUUUAGAAAAUCCAUCGACUUUUCAAAGGGUGCGUGGAUUAGAAAAUACGGACAAUUUUCAAAACACUAGCCUUGCAUUUUAAUGCCCCGGUGUCGUGGGAGUGAACAGUAAACCACUGUUGAUGCACACUGGGCCACACAUCUCAUAUGAAGUACAUCGACCUGAUGGUGUGUGGAGACUACAGCUCCUCUUGUUCCCUCCAUCUCUGCCCUACCAAAGGGCUAGCAAUGGACCAUUAUCUCAGAUUCUGACAUCUGAAGAGAGAUUCUGAAUGCCAGGAAGGAAGUUUUCCAAAUCAGUAUAAAACAAAAUCCUCUUAUUACAACAGGAUACAGUAGAGAAAACAAAAGAGGAAGCUCACGAGAGAGAAAAGGUUUAAAAGCAGAAACGAAAGAUACUUCUGAGAAAAACAAGAUACUCCUAAAGUGGUAAAGUUCCUUGUGUUUCCUGGGAAAAACAUCACUGCUGGAGAGACUAGACUAUGGGAGACCAUGGGAUUGACGCAUGUGUUGCUGAAAAAAUUGCUCACCAAUAUCUAUGUCACAAGACUUUAAGAUCUACCCACCUGCUGAGAAAUUGUAUCAAGAAAUUUUUAUAUAGCCUUCAUAUAAUUCCUGCACAAACAACCUGAUGAGCUGGACAAUGAAUAAGGAAGACCGAAGAAGAGUUGACGCCUUUGAAUUGUGGUGUUGGCGAAGAAUGUUGAAUAUCCCAUGGACUGCCAGAAGAACAAACAAAUUCGUCUUGGAAGAAGUACAGCCAGAUGCUCCUUAAAAGCAAAGAUGGCGAGAUUUCGCCUCACAUACUUUGGACGUGUUAUCAGGAGAGACCAGUCCCCAGUGAAGGACAUCAUGCUUGGUAAAAUAGAGGGUCAGUGAAAAAGAGGAAGACCCUUAAUGAAACAGAUUAACACAGCAGCUGCAACAAUGGGCUCAAGCAUAACAACGAUUGCGAGGAUGGUGCAGGACUGGGCAAUGUUUUGUUCUGUUGCACACAGGGUCACUAUGAGACGGAACUGACUUGACAGCACCUAACAACAAGAACAACAACAGGGUGCUUGUGAUUUGCAACCACCAAAUCCAAAGGCCUUUCCGGGGUUGUCUCUCUCCUUGACCUGUCUGCAGCGUUUAGCACUGAGGACCAUCCACUUCUUGGAGCACUGCAUGUACACACUAGUAACUCAAAAUAUGUAUUAAGUGAUAAAUGAAAUAUUCAGACAUUCUUUGAAUUCUUAAGUAUGAUAUGUAUGUGGCUGAAGACCAGGAAAAGUUUUUACAUAUAAACAUGCUACUGUACUUUUAAAUGAAUUUAUAAGGAAAUGACUUAAAGGAAACUGCCCAACAUUGUAGCAAUAGCCAUCUUUUGCAGAGUAAGGAAUAAAUUCAAUUGUUUUUAAAAAGAAUGAUAUAUUUUUAAGGUAAAUAUCUUAAAAAUGUGUAGGCAUAUCAUAUACAAAAUACAACUCAAAAUGGUUUGCUGACCUAAAUGUAAGAGCAAAAACUAUAAAAGUCUUCAAAGAAAAUUUUUGUGAUCAUGUUGAAUUUGACAAUGAUUUCUUCGAUAUGACAGCAAAGACAAAAACAACAACAGAAAAAAUUAAAUAAAACUGUUAAAAAGGAAAAAAAGAAUGCAUACACAUUAGCUCUCUGAAAUAGAGUCCCUGAGUGGCACGAAUGGUUAACUGCCUGGCUAAGAACUGAAAGGUUGGGGUUCUAAUCUCCCCAGAGGUGCCUUGGGAGAAAGUCCUGGCAACCUGCUUCUGAAAGAUCACAGCCAUGAAAACCCUACGGAGCACAGUUCUACUGAACACACAUGGGGUCACCAUGAGUCAGAAUUGACUCCAUGGAAACUGGUUUGGUUUAUAAGCUACUGUUUAUUUGAUCAUUCAUUCAUUCAUGCAUUCAUUCACCAAAACUUCAUUGAACAUAUUUUGAAUUGUGCCAAGUGCUGGGCAUAACAGGAUUCUGAAAAGAGCAUCUGGCUUCAGCAUGAAGAUCAGAUUGGCAGGGCAUCAAGCUGUACGGGAUAUAGGGCAGUUUACAAAAUUGGGAGUUAGCCAAUUGUCUCUUUGCUUCUUAGUCAAACGUCAUUUCUUUACAUUCUUUUCACCAUAAAGAAAGGAAACAAGUCCGGCUUCAGCUCUUUCAUGAUCCAAAGAAAGCCCCAAGGUUUCUUAGGGGCUUCAAAAAAGAGCUUUAUAAUCGUAAAAACUAAUGACUUUAGUAUUAAGUUUACUUUUGCAAUCUAAUAAAAAGCAUGCUAUAUGCCCAUCUUUGCCAAGAGCCUGAGAUAGAAAUAAAGCUAGAAGCACUGCAAGUCGUCUGGGAAGAUGGCACCUUCAUUCCUCACACACCUUUGACAAAAACUACUAUAUAAAGAUUGACUAAGGACCUGAGGUCAGCCUGGUUUGACGAGUGUGACAUGUGGGAAUACCACAUGCCCCAAUACCCCAUGCUUCUUGUCCCCUUCAGCUGUAUUUGCCCCAGAUACGCUUAGAGGGUUUUAAGAGGACUGUGGAGCAGGAUAGUUCAAGGUCUGAACCCGGUGUCUUCAGGGAGCAGGGGAGCUUAGCUGGUGUAACAGGACUUCCCUGGAUGGUGGCGUUAGUGAAGAGUAUUGAAUACAGCAUACCGUGGACAGCCAGAACGAAUCAGUCUGUCUUGGAAGAAGUACAGCUGAAUGCUCCUUAGAAGCAAAGAUGGAGAGACUGUUUCGCUUACUUUGGACAUGUCAUCAGUCUACCAAUUGCUGGAAAAGGACAUCAUGCUUGGUAAAGCAGAGGGUCAGAGAAAAAGAGGGAGACCUUCAAUGAGGUGAACUGAUACAAUGGGUGCAACAAUGGGCUCAAACAUACCUACUAUUGUGAGGAUGGCACAGGACCCGGUAACAUUUCAUUUUGUUAGAUAUAGAGUCACUAUGUGUCUGAACUGCCUCGAGGGUACUUAAGAACAGCAGAUGGUAGGGUGGAGACUAGGUUUGGAGGUCCUUGCUGGAAAUAGAACUGGAAACUGUCCCAGAAGCCAGAGUAAUGGCUGCAAGGCCCUCGCAACCAAGAAAGAGACCGAGUUCAGGGCAACUCUAGCAAAGGGGCAGAGUUUCAGUGCUAAGAGGCCUCACUCACUCUGGUUCCAUCUGCCCUCGCUGUGGCUUAUCCUUUGAAAAAUGUCCCAGGCAGUGUUGAAGCUUGGCUUCCCUCUAAGACCCGGAUAGAGUGUGUUGUCAAAGGGGUGGUCUGCCCUCCAAAUGGCUCGUCUGCACCCCAGGCCUCGGCCCUGCCCCAGGCUGCUAUGAACCAGCGGCAGAGCCAUUUGCCCCACGAAUAAAGCAACAGAGCUGAGCUGCAGGUGAGGAACAGGCUCAGACCUGGGCAAUGGGAAAAAAGCCGCCCACUCUCUGUGUUUGCUCAAUCUUUGGGGUGAUUGGGGGGAUGGUGGUUAGUCUGUGCUACUUCUCAACAGAUCUCACCUGGAUAACGCUCCAACUCACCUAACUUGGACAGAACCCUUUGUUUCAUUUUUAAGUAUUAUAGCCAUACCUUUGCUUGCUAUUUUAAAUGGAUGUUACCUUUUUGUUUUGUUUUAAAAAAGAAUUUACUCUAAAUAUCUACAAUAAAGACCAUACACACUUCUAUUUUUUAAAAAAAUCAUUCCUCCAAAAUAUCUUUCCAUCGAAAGGGCGCCAAAAUCUAUA
Long non-coding RNA from Loxodonta africana (African savanna elephant), 4376 nucleotides. RefSeq lists it as uncharacterized. The record is from RefSeq and is a predicted model, not a curated record. The transcript is spliced from 3 exons. NCBI's taxonomy places the organism in Eukaryota, Metazoa, Chordata, Mammalia, Proboscidea, Elephantidae.